This 253-nucleotide ribosomal RNA is filed under the name uncultured bacterium. Its description in RNAcentral is "partial 16S ribosomal RNA". It matches the Rfam family "Bacterial small subunit ribosomal RNA", at positions 524 to 776 of the family's 1533-position model. The record is from RNAcentral.
UACGGGGGGGGCAAGCGUUGUUCGGAAUUACUGGGCGUAAAGGGCUCGUAGGCGGCCAACUAAGUCAUACGUGAAAUCCCUCGGCUUAACCGGGGAACUGCGUCUGAUACUGGAUGGCUUGAGUUCGGGAGAGGGAUGCGGAAUUCCAGGUGUAGCGGUGAAAUGCGUAGAUAUCUGGAGGAACACCGGUGGCGAAGGCGGCAUCCUGGACCGAUACUGACGCUGAGGAGUGAAAGCCAGGGGAGCAAACGGG